RNAcentral lists this ribosomal RNA (1432 nucleotides) under uncultured bacterium. RNAcentral's name for it is "bacterial SSU rRNA". It matches the Rfam family "Bacterial small subunit ribosomal RNA". The record is from RNAcentral.
AAUGAACGUUGGCGGCGUGGAUUAGGCAUGCAAGUCGAGCGGUAAGGCUCCUUCGGGAGUACACGAGCGGCGCAAGGGAGAGUAACACGUGGAUAAUGUACCCCCAGGUUCGGGAUAGCUGCGGGAAACUGCAGGUAAUACCGAAUGAUAUCUCUGGAUCAAAGGUCCGCCGCCUGGGGAGCAGUCCGCGUCCUAUUAGCUUGUUGGUGAGGUAAUGGCUCACCAAGGCAAUGAUGGGUAGCGGGUGUGAGAGCAUGGCCCGUCUCACUGGGACUGAGACACUGCCCAGACACCUACGGGUGGCUGCAGUCGAGAAUCUUCGGCAAUGGGCGCAAGCCUGACCGAGCGACGCCGCGUGCGGGAUGAAGGCCUUCGGGUUGUAAACCGCUGUCAGAGGGGAGUAAAUGGCAACUUGAACGAUCCUCAGAGGAAGCGCAGGCUAAGUUCGUGCCAGCAGCCGCGGUAAGACGAACUGCGCAAACGUUAUUCGGAAUUACUGGGCUUAAAGGGUGCGUAGGCGGCCUGGCAAGUUGGGUGUGAAAUCCCACGGCUCAACCGUGGAACUGCGCCCAAAACUGCCAGACUGGAGGGAGACAGAGGUGAGCGGAACUACGGGUGGAGCGGUGAAAUGCGUUGAUAUCCGUAGGAACACCGGUGGCGAAAGCGGCUCACUGGGUCUCUUCUGACGCUGAGGCACGAAAGCUAGGGGAGCGAACGGGAUUAGAUACCCCGGUAGUCCUAGCUGUAAACGAUGAGCACUAGGUCGAGGGGACUCCCAUAUCCUCUCGGCCGAACUGAAAAAGUUAAGUGCUCCGCCUGGGGAGUAUGGCCGCAAGGCUGAAACUCAAAGGAAUUGACGGGGGCUCACACAAGCGGUGGAGGAUGUGGCUUAAUUCGAGGCUACGCGAAGAACCUUAUCCUGGUCUUGACAUGUACGGAUUAACCCUGUGAAAGCAGGGCCACGCCUUCGGGUGGAACGUAUGCAGGUGCUGCAUGGCUGUCGUCAGCUCGUGUCGUGAGAUGUCGGGUUAAGUCCCUUAACGAGCGAAACCCUUGUCCCUAGUUGCCAGCGAGUCAUGUCGGGGACUCUAGGGAGACUGCCGGUGUUAAACCGGAGGAAGGUGGGGAUGACGUCAAGUCCUCAUGGCCUUUAUGACCAGGGCUGCACACGUCCUACAAUGGCGCGUACAGAGGGAUGCGAACUCGCGAGAGCAAGCAAAUCCCAAAAAGCGCGCCUCAGUUCGGAUUGCAGGCUGCAACUCGCCUGCAUGAAGUCGGAAUCGCUAGUAAUCGCAGGUCAGCAUACUGCGGUGAAUGUGUUCCCGAGCCUUGUACACACCGCCCGUCAAGCCACGGGAGUGGGGGGCACCCAAAGACGCUGUCGUAACCCUACGGGAGCAAGGCGUCUAAGGUGAACUCCGCGACUGGGACU